GCUGGGCACAGUGUCACGUACCUGUAGUCCCAGCUACUUGGGAGGCUGAGGCUGGAGGAUCGCUUGAGCCCAGGAGUUCUGGGCUGUAGUGAGCUAUGACGAUCCAGUGUCCACACUAAGUUCGGCAUCAAUAUGGUGACCUCCCGGGAGCGGGGGACCACCAGGUUGCCUAAGGAGGGGUGAACCGGCCCAGGUCGGAAACGGAGCAGGUCAAAAACUCCCGUGCUGGGCACGGUGGCUCACGCCUAUAAUCCCAGCACUUUUGAGAGGCCGAGGCAGGUGGAUCACGAGGUCAAGAGAUCAAGACCAUCCAGGUCAACAUGGUGAAACCCCGUCUCUA
Molecule: unclassified non-coding RNA, 340 nt
Organism: Callithrix jacchus (white-tufted-ear marmoset)
Lineage: Eukaryota; Metazoa; Chordata; Mammalia; Primates; Cebidae
Rfam family: Metazoan signal recognition particle RNA
About the family: The signal recognition particle (SRP) is a universally conserved ribonucleoprotein.
Source: Ensembl